ACUUUAUGUCCUCUAAAGAGCCGUUCGAGACUAGGACGUUGAUAGGUUGGAUGUGGAAGCAUAGUGAUAUGUGAAGCUGACCAAUACUAAUUGCUCGUGAGGCUUGACUAUACAACACCCAAGCAGUUG
RNAcentral lists this ribosomal RNA (129 nucleotides) under Acinetobacter baumannii. Its description in RNAcentral is "partial 23S ribosomal RNA". The stretch from base 1 to 111 matches the Rfam family "Bacterial large subunit ribosomal RNA", at positions 2804 to 2925 of the family's 2925-position model. Lineage: Bacteria; Pseudomonadati; Pseudomonadota; Gammaproteobacteria; Moraxellales; Moraxellaceae. The record is from RNAcentral.